Molecule: ribosomal RNA, 468 nt
Filed under: uncultured bacterium
Lineage: Bacteria
Description: partial 16S ribosomal RNA
Rfam family: Bacterial small subunit ribosomal RNA
Source: RNAcentral
GACGAACGCUGGCGGCGUGCUUAACACAUGCAAGUCGAACGGAAAGGCCCGGCUUUUGUUGGGUGCUCGAUUGGCGAACGGGUGAGUAACACGUGAGUAACCUGCCCUUGACUUUGGGGUAACUUCAGGGAACUGGGGCUAAUACCGGAUAGGAGCUCCUGCUGCAUGGUGGUGGUUAGAAAGUUUCGGCGGUGGGGGAUGGACUCGCGGCUUAUCAGCUUGUUGGUGGGGUAGUGGCGUACCAAGGCUUUGACGGGUAGCCGGCCUGAGAGGGUGAACGGCCACCAUGGGCCUGCGAGACGGCCCAGAAUGCUACGGGAGGCAGAAGGCGGGAAUAUUGCACAAUGGGGGGAAGCCUGAUGCAGAAACGCCCCGUGCGGGAUGAAGGCCUUUGGGGUGUAAACCGCUUUGGCAUGUGCCGAAGAGUGAGUGACGGUAAUGGGUAAAGAAGCACCGGCUAACUACGUG